AUUGAACGCUGGCGGCAGGCCUAACACAUGCAAGUCGAACGGUAACAGGAAGAAGCUUGCUUCUUUGCUGACGAGUGGCGGACGGGUGAGUAAUGUCUGGGAAACUGCCUGAUGGAGGGGGAUAACUACUGGAAACGGUAGCUAAUACCGCAUAACUUCGCAAGACCAAAAAGGGGGACCUUCGGGCCUCUUGCCAUCGGAUGUGCCCAGAUGGAAUUAGCUAGUAGGUGGGGUAACGGCUCACCUAGGCGACGAUCCCUAGCUGGUCUGAGAGGAUGACCGGCCACACUGGAACUGAGACACGGUCCAGACUCCUACGGGAGGCAGCAGUGGGGAAUAUUGAGCAAUGGGCGAAAGCCUGAUGCAGCCAUGCCGCGUGUAUGAAGAAGGCCUUCGGGUUGUAAAGUACUUUCAGCAGGGAGGAACGGAGUAAAGUUAAAACCUUUGCUCAUUGACGUUACCCGCAGAAGAAGCACCGGCUAACUCCGUG
Molecule: ribosomal RNA, 490 nt
Filed under: uncultured bacterium
Lineage: Bacteria
Description: partial 16S ribosomal RNA
Rfam family: Bacterial small subunit ribosomal RNA
Source: RNAcentral